RNAcentral lists this ribosomal RNA (375 nucleotides) under uncultured organism. Its description in RNAcentral is "partial 16S ribosomal RNA". It matches the Rfam family "Bacterial small subunit ribosomal RNA", at positions 527 to 896 of the family's 1533-position model. The record is from RNAcentral.
GGGGGGAGCAAACGUUGUUCGGAAUCACUGGGCGUAAAGGGCGCGUAGGCGGCCCCGCAAGUGGUGUGUGAAAUGCCCUGGCUCAACCAGGGAACUGCGCACCAAACUGCGUAGCUUGAGGGCAGUAGAGGAAGCUGGGAUUCCUGGUGUAGCGGUGAAAUGCGUAGAUAUCAGGAGGAACACCGUUGGCGAAGGCGAGCUUCUGGGCUGUUCCUGACGCUGAGGCGCGAAAGCUGGGGGGGAGCAAACAGGAUUAGAUACCCUGGUAGUCCCAGCCGUAAACGGUGAACACUAGGUGUGGGGGGGUGUCGACCCCUUUCCGUGCCGCAGCUAACGCAUUAAGUGUUCCGCCUGGGUAGUACGGUCGCAAGGCUG